This is an RNA transcript of Melanotaenia boesemani (Boeseman's rainbowfish), 1403 nucleotides long. It is a transcript of the gene named G protein-activated inward rectifier potassium channel 2-like, with no coding region annotated. The transcript has 3 exons. Lineage: Eukaryota; Metazoa; Chordata; Actinopteri; Atheriniformes; Melanotaeniidae. The record is from RefSeq and is a predicted model, not a curated record.
AUUCAGGGGGAGAGGCUGGACCGUGUGGGCUGCUUCUCCUCACCUUCGGUGGGAGAAGCUAGAUUGCUGGUGCUGCUUCCCCUCACCUCACACCAUCUGGGCAGACUUAUGGUGGCGUUGCUUCCCAGUGGGGGACGUUAUGAUAGUCCUGUUAGGUGGGGCUUAUCUUCGUGUUCCCAGUGGGGAACGUUCUGGGGACAGGCUAGGUUUGAACAGCGCUUCCUUUUGGUGUGUGUUCUGCCAUUUCGUUCACGUUUGUGUUAAGGUUCGGGUGUGUUGUGUUGGGCUAGUUAGGCCAUGUGUUUGUGUUCACACUUAGUUUAAUGGAACUGCUGCCUUUUGUUAUCAAGUUAUCAUGCCAAGUUAAGGGCACCCUUUUGUUUGUUAAAUUUGAUAUGGUUUACUUGGCGGGUUUUGUGUAUGGUUUCUGAUUUAACUUUUGUUUGUUUCUUUCAGCAGUUCCGUUAAUCCCAACACUUGGAUUUAGGUUAACUUCCUGUUUUUCCCCUUUUUUAUUUUAUUCUCACCACAAUAAAAUGAUUUGUUCCAACUUUACAACUGUCCGCGACUUUGUGUUACGUCCCACUCAUACCCCUAUAACGGGACGUAACAGAUGGCCUGUGAGCAGGUUGGCCUGAGUGCGGCUGGAAACAGUGAGGCGGGGACCGCAGAAUCCAAUCCAAAAGUUUUUAUUUACCAGUCACCGGUUUAACAUAAAAACUUACACCUUCUGUUGCAGGGUAGUCCAGUCACCACCAGCAGCCGCCUCCAAAUGAGCAAAUCAACCUCAUUUAUCCCAUGCUGCUGAUUGGGCUGUACCAUUCCCCCCAACAGGUGUAUCCUCAAUUAUAACAGACAUUUCUCUAUUAAAAUUACUUCUAUAAAAUCUAAAAGUAUUUGCACACUAAAUACAUAACGCUACAAUCAUAAAGUAAACCCAUAAACCAAUAUACAAAUAAAUUCCAUAACCCUCCUGCUCCAUGGUCUCUCCCAAGCCAUACAAAGGUAUCCAGGCCACCUGAAACCAAUUUGCCCUGUCACCCUGGAGACGCCAUGCGCUAGGGAUUAGUUUGGCAUACCUUUUCUCAAUCCAACGUCCGAUGACACCACCAGUCUUAAGCAACAUCUCUUGAGAGAGGUUAAAGGAGAGGAGGAGGAGGAACCACAUCCACCAACCUGUGCCAUAAUCUGUGUCCUGGAGCUGCCCACCAGAAGCAGUCGAAUGGAAUGGACAGAAACUCCUGUCUCAGUGAGGUGUCGUCGACCCGUUGCUAGGUAUGACAUGCCAGGCAAGGACAUCCUACACAGAGGAUGAGAUCCUGUGGGGCCACCGGUUUGAGUCAUGCAUUUCCUUGGAUUUAGGGGUGUUUCGAGUGGACUACAGUUUGACAAAACCUUUGAAG